GAUCAUGGCUCAGAUUGAACGCUGGCGGCGGGCCUAACACAUGCAAGUCGAACGGUAACAGGAAACAGCUUGCUGUUUCGCUGACGAGUGGCGGACGGGUGAGUAAUGUCUGGGAAACUGCCUGAUGGAGGGGGGAUAACUACUGGAAACGGUAGCUAAUACCGCAUAGCGUCGCAAGACCAAAGAGGGGGACCUUCGGGCCUCUUGCCAUCGGAUGUGCCCAGAUGGGAUUAGCUAGUAGGG
This 243-nucleotide ribosomal RNA is filed under the name uncultured bacterium. RNAcentral describes it as "partial 16S ribosomal RNA". It matches the Rfam family "Bacterial small subunit ribosomal RNA", at positions 15 to 253 of the family's 1533-position model. The record is from RNAcentral.